Danio rerio (zebrafish) is the source of this 117-nucleotide non-coding RNA. The record is from Rfam. Lineage: Eukaryota; Metazoa; Chordata; Actinopteri; Cypriniformes; Danionidae.
GGCCACAGCCAUAUCACCCUGCAGCUCAAGACUGCUUACUCACUGAAGCUAAGCAGGGCUGAGUGUGGUCAGUACCUGGAUGGGAGACCACAUGAGAAAGCUAGGUUGCUGUUGGAA